GACGAACCGUGCGAACGUUGUUCGGAAUCACUGGGCUUAAAGGGCGCGUAGGCGGAUCGACGAGUCUGUGGUGAAAUCCUUCAGCUUAACUGGAGAAGUGCCGUGGAUACUGUCGGUCUCGAGGAGGAUAGGGGCAUCUGGAACUGCCGGUGGAGCGGUGAAAUGCGUUGAUAUCGGCAGGAACUCCGGUGGCGAAGGCGGGUCUCUGGGCCGAUACUGACGCUGAGGAGCGAAAGCGUGGGGAGCGAACAGG
Molecule: ribosomal RNA, 253 nt
Filed under: uncultured bacterium
Lineage: Bacteria
Description: partial 16S ribosomal RNA
Rfam family: Bacterial small subunit ribosomal RNA
Source: RNAcentral